AAGCCAUGCGAGUCUUUGUAGUAAUACAAGGCAGACGGCUCAGUAACACGUAGUCAACCUACCCCUAUGGACGAGAAUAAUCUCGGGAAACUGAGCAUAAUUCUUGAUAGAUCAUAAUGCCUGGAAUGGUUUAUGGUUAAAAUGAUUCGUCGCCAUAGGAUGGGACUGCGGCCUAUCAGCUUGUUGGUGAGGUAAUGGCCCACCAAGGCGAUUACAGGUACGGGCUCUGAGAGGAGAAGCCCGGAGAUGGGUACUGAGACACGGACCCAGGCCCUAUGGGGCGCAGCAGGCGAGAAAACUUUGCAAUGUGCGAAAGCACGACAAGGUUAAUCCGAGUGAUUUCUGCUAAAGAAAUCUUUUGCCAGUCGUAAAAACGCUGGUGAAUAAGGGGUGGGCAAGUUCUGGUGUCAGCCGCCGCGGUAAAACCAGCACCUCAAGUGGUCAGGAUGAUUAUUGGGCCUAAAGCAUCCGUAGCCGGCUUUGUAAGUUUUCGGUUAAAUCCAUGUGCUCAACGCAUGGGCUGCCGAAAAUACUGCAUAGCUAGGGAGUGGAAGAGGUAGACGGUACUCAGUAGGUAGGGGUAAAAUCCUUUGAUCUAUUGAUGACCACCUGUGGCGAAGGCGGUCUACCAGAACACGUUCGACGGUGAGGGAUGAAAGCUGGGGGAGCAAACCGGAUUAGAUACCCGGGUAGUCCCAGCUGUAAACGAUGCAGACUCGAUGAUGCAUUGGCAUAAUAGCCAUUGCAGUGUCGCAGGGAAGCCGUUAAGUCUGCCGCCUGGGAAGUACGUACGCAAGUAUGAAACUUAAAGGAAUUGGCGGGGGAGCACCACAAGGGGUGAAGCCUGCGGUUCAAUUGGAUCAACGCCGG
Molecule: ribosomal RNA, 870 nt
Filed under: uncultured archaeon
Lineage: Archaea
Description: bacterial SSU rRNA
Rfam family: Archaeal small subunit ribosomal RNA
Source: RNAcentral